Acanthosepion pharaonis is the source of this 113-nucleotide non-coding RNA. Lineage: Eukaryota; Metazoa; Mollusca; Cephalopoda; Sepiida; Sepiidae. The record is from the annotation of a GenBank genome assembly.
UAUGGUCACAUCAUGUUGAAGCACCAGUUUCUGUAUGGUCACUGAAGUUAAGCAAUGUUGAGCCUGGUCAGUACCUAGAUGAGUGACUGCUUGAGAAUAUCAGGUGCUGUAAG